RNAcentral lists this ribosomal RNA (379 nucleotides) under uncultured eukaryote. Its description in RNAcentral is "partial 18S ribosomal RNA". It matches the Rfam family "Eukaryotic small subunit ribosomal RNA", at positions 592 to 976 of the family's 1831-position model. The record is from RNAcentral.
CAAUAGCGUAUAUUUAAGUUGUUGCAGUUAAAAAGCUCGUAGUUGGAUUUUGGGUCGGGGGCACCGGUCCGCCGUUCCGGUGUGCACUGGUGGCCCCUUCCUUUCUGCCGGGGACGUGCGUCGCACUUAAUUGGGUGGCGUUCGGAGUCGGCGUUGUUACUUUGAAAAAAUUAGAGUGUUCAAAGCAAGCCAUCGCUCUGAAUACAUUAGCAUGGAAUAACAUGAUAGGACUCCGGUCUUAUUUUGUUGGUUUCCGAGACUGGAGUAAUGAUUAAGAGGGACAGUCGGGGGCAUCCGUAUUUCAUUGUCAGAGGUGAAAUUCUUGGAUUUAUGAAAGACGAACUUCUGCGAAAGCAUUUGCCAAGGAUGUUUUCAUUAG